UACGGGGGGGGCAAGCGUUGUUCGGAAUUACUGGGCGUAAAGGGCUCGUAGGCGGCCAACUAAGUCGGAUGUGAAAUCCCCAGGCUUAACCUGGGAACUGCAUCCGAUACUGGAUGGCUUGAAUCCGGGAGAGGGAUGCAGAAUUCCAGGUGUAGCGGUGAAAUGCGUAGAUAUCUGGAGGAACACCGGUGGCGAAGGCGGCAUCCUGGACCGAGAUUGACGCUGAGGCGCGAAAGCCAGGGGAGCAAACGGG
RNAcentral lists this ribosomal RNA (253 nucleotides) under uncultured bacterium. RNAcentral describes it as "partial 16S ribosomal RNA". It matches the Rfam family "Bacterial small subunit ribosomal RNA", at positions 524 to 776 of the family's 1533-position model. The record is from RNAcentral.